GGGGAUGUAGCUCAUUGGUAGAGCGCUUGCUUAGCAUGCGAGAGCUACGGGGAUUGACUGCAUCUUCA
RNAcentral lists this transfer RNA (68 nucleotides) under Capsicum annuum. It matches the Rfam family "tRNA". From Rfam's summary of the family: Transfer RNA (tRNA) molecules are approximately 80 nucleotides in length. Their secondary structure includes four short double-helical elements and three loops (D, anti-codon, and T loops). Lineage: Eukaryota; Viridiplantae; Streptophyta; Magnoliopsida; Solanales; Solanaceae. The record is from Rfam by way of RNAcentral.